CAUGCGGGGACAUGGGAAUAAGAUUUGACGGCCGCCUAGACUUAUAAUUAUGAACAACUUCAAAUGGAUUUAGACCUAGAGAUCGAUUUACAAAAUCGUCACAUGCAAUUUAAACAGUAGGAAGGAUCAAAUUCCAAUUUCCUAGAGUUUCCUUGCAAAGAGCAUGAUUACACAAAUCAUUAAUACCCUUGGGUGGGAUAAGAGUAGAACACAUAACAUUUGACCGAGAGGUAUCGGGAACAAGGGGUACAAUACCUAGACUCAUAGGAAAAGUCCGAAUACUAUCUAAGGGGGUGUCCUCACUGUCAUCCAAUUCUUCAAGUUUAAGUUCAUAGAUUUGAUUUUCUAAUCGCUCAUCUCUCAUAUUCUUUUGUUCUUCAAUGAAUAAGGCUCGAUUAGAACAUUCAUAAAAAAUGUGGUCAAAGUCCUUAUAUUUGAAGCACUGCAAAUGAGAAGAAGUUAUUGAAGUUUCAAAAUCUUGACCUUUAUUGUCCAAUAGAGAAGGAGCAUUAGAUGGAGGAGGACCUAGAAGGGACUUAACAGGAGAAGGUGGUGUUGAUGAGACGAAAGGGGGAAUGUCACUACGCCUUCGAUACGAAGAAGGUCUUGGGAUAUCACAACCUUUACACUUAUUUUCCCAAAUGGGAGGAACAUUAGACGAGGAAGGCUCUAUGAUAGACUUAUGACGAGGUGGCGCUAAUGACAUCGACGAACGAUGGUGAUCAAGCU
This 729-nucleotide long non-coding RNA is filed under the name Olea europaea subsp. europaea. The record is from RNAcentral. Lineage: Eukaryota; Viridiplantae; Streptophyta; Magnoliopsida; Lamiales; Oleaceae.